Long non-coding RNA from Mauremys mutica (yellowpond turtle), 487 nucleotides. RefSeq lists it as uncharacterized. The transcript is spliced from 3 exons. The record is from RefSeq and is a predicted model, not a curated record. NCBI's taxonomy places the organism in Eukaryota, Metazoa, Chordata, Testudines, Geoemydidae.
GGAUGGGGGUGAAGACUCUGCAGAGCAGCAACCAUUUAUUGAACUUUGUUACCCUGGGAAGAGGACUAACCUUAAAGGAGUAACAUGGCUGGAGAUCUGGGGUGAGAACAACUAAUAAGGGUAUGAAAGAUAUGAAUGUGAAGGUUCUUUGUCAGACCCUACUAUCAUGCUGGAGUAGGCCAGGAUGAGACUGUCAUCCCUAGGUCUGGCCUAUUUGACGGGAUAGUUCUGUCAGAACUGGAACUGGCCCCUGAAAACUCAGGCCAUGUGACAUGAGAGACUCUGCUACUCAGCUAAGGCACCUGGGAUGUUUGCCCACCUGUUGCUAGGAACCAGUGAGCCUGCAGAUUUUUUUGGAAAAUGUUCUUGAAAACCCCUCUGUGAUCCCCAGCUGGCACAUCCAGACCCCCAAGUCCCAAGGGAGAGAAUCCCCGUCAGCCUCCCACAGGUACCCAUCAAUUCCAGCAAUGGGAGAGCUCACCUAGAC